RNAcentral lists this non-coding RNA (29 nucleotides) under Rattus norvegicus (Norway rat). The record is from RNAcentral. Lineage: Eukaryota; Metazoa; Chordata; Mammalia; Rodentia; Muridae.
UGGUGGUCGAUCCACGAUCUACUGUGUGU